AUGGCGUUGAGCACCCAAACUGGGUCUGCAGGUUCAGCUUUCCCAUGGAAGUACGACGUGUUUUUGAGCUUCAGAGGCGUAGACACCCGUAAGGGCUUCACAGAUUACUUGUAUGACAAGUUGCGGUGGCGAGGAAUCAGGACUUUCAGGGAUGAUCCACACCUUGAAAGAGGCACAACAAUCUCUCCAGAACUCCUCACUGCAAUCAAGCAAUCCAGGUUUGCGAUCGUUGUUCUUUCGCCAGACUAUGCUAGUUCUACUUGGUGCUUGCUUGAACUGUCAAAGAUCUUUGAAUCCAUGGAGGAGAGGGGGACAAUUCUGCCAAUAUUUUAUGAAGUGGAACCUUCUCAUGUGAGACAUCAAAGGGGAAGCUUUGCUGAAGCGUUGGAUAUACAUGAAGAGAAGUUUGGGGAAGGUAAUAAGGAGGUUGAAAGGUGGAGGGAUGCUUUAACCAAAGUGGCCAAUCUCGCUGGAUGGAGUUCAAAGGAUUACAGGUAUGAAACAGAGCUUAUCAGAGACAUUGUGCAAGAACUGUGGAGCAAAGUGCAUCCUAGUCUCACAGUGUCUGGGUCCUCAGAGAAGUUAGUUGGAAUGGAUCAUAAGCUGAAGGAGAUGGAUAUUCUUUUAGAUAAAGAAGCAAAUGAUGUUCGCUUUAUAGGGAUAUGGGGGAUGGGUGGGUUGGGUAAGACAACCCUUGCUAGACUAGUUUAUGAGAAAAUCUCUCAUCAAUUUGAAGUUUCCAUCUUUCUUGCUAAUGUCAGCGAGGUUUCCGCAACUCAGGGUCUUGUUCAUCUACAAAAACAAAUUCUUUCCCAGAUCUUGAAGGAAGAAAAUGUUCAAGUAUGGAAUGUUUAUAGUGGAAUCGCUAUGAUAAAGAGAUGUUUUUGUAAUAAAGUGGUUCUUCUAGUUCUUGACGAUGUGGAUCAACCUGAGCAACUGGAAAACUUGGUGGGAGAAAAAGACUGGUUUGGUUCAAGAAGUAGAAUCAUCAUUACAGCUAGAGAUCGGCAUGUCCUAGCCACACAAGGUGUAGAAAAACCAUAUGAGUUGAAGGGAUUAAACGAAGAUGAAGCUCUUCAGCUCUUUAGUUGGAAAGCUUUUAGGAAAUAUGUGCCUGAAGAAGAUUAUGCAGAACUCUGUAAAAGUUUUGUCAUGUAUGCUGGAGGUCUCCCCUUAGCUCUUAAAACUUUGGGGUCUUACUUGUACCAAAGGAGUCCAGAUGCAUGGAAUUCUGCAUUGGCAAAACUACGGAGUACUCCAAACAAAACAAUUUUCGAUUUGCUAAAAGUGAGUUAUGAUGGACUUGAUGAGACGGAGAAGAAAAUUUUUCUGGACAUCGCAUGUUAUUCUUCGCAAUGUCGAGCAAAGUUUAUUAUUGAACUACUAUAUAGUUUUGACGUUUGCAAUCGUAUUGCAGUAGAUGUUCUUGUUGAGAAAUCUCUCUUAACUAUUUCAUCAGACAAUAAAAUAGGUAUCCAUGAUUUGAUACGAGAAAUGGGAUGUGAAAUUGUUCGCCAAGAGUCUUAUGAAGACGCAGUCGGUUGUGGCUUUGGAAAGACAUUUUUCAUGUAUUCACAAAGAAUACGGGAACAGAAGCCAUUGAAGGCAUAUUCUUACGCUUGGCUGAAUUAGAAGAGGCAGAUUGGAAUCUUGAGGCCUUCUCUAAAAUGCGUAAACUGAAGCUGCUCUACAUUGAUAAUUUAAGGCUUUCUCUUGGCCCCAAAUAUCUUCCUAAUGCCUUGAUAUUUCUGAAUUGGAGUUGGUAUCCUUCAAAAUCUAUCCCACCAGCUUUUCAACCGGAUGACCUUACUGAACUUAGUUUGGUGCAUAGCAAUAUUGAUCACCUCUGGAAUGGAAUAAAAUACUUGAGCAAGUUGAAAUCUAUCGAUCUUAGUUACUCCGUAAACUUGACAAGGACCCCAGAUUUCACAGGUACUCUAAAUCUUGAGAAGUUGGUUCUUGUAGGUUGUACGAGUUUAGUUAAGAUCCAUCCAUCCAUUGCACUGCUCAAGAGACUCAAAAUUUGGAAUUUUAGAGACUGCAAAAGUAUCAAGAGUCUACCGAGUGAAGUGCAUAUGGAGUUUCUUGAAAUUUUUGAUGUAUCUGGCUGCUCAAAGCUGAAAAGGAUUCCAGAAUUUGUGGGGCAAAUGAAAAGAUUAUCAAAGCUCUUUAGGUGGGAGUGCUGUUGAGAAACUGCCUUCAUCAAUUGAGUUAUUGAGUGAGAGUCUGGUGAAGCUUGAUUUGAAUGAAAGUGUUAUAAGAGAGCAGCCAUACUCCCAUUUUCAUAAGCUGCAGAAUCUCAUAGUAUCAUCUUUUGGCUUAUUUCCUAGAAAGCAGAGUCCUCAACCUUUGAUUCAUCUAUUAGCUUCCUUGAAGCAUUUCUCUUGUUUGAGGCAAUUAAAUCUGAACGACUGUAAUCUCUGUGAAGGAGAGAUUCCCAAUGAUCUUGGUUCUCUGUCCUCCUUAGUGUGGUUGGAACUCAGAGGAAACAAUUUUGUUAGCCUUCCUGCAAGCAUUCAUUUGCUUUCUAAGCUUAUACAUAUUAAUGUAAGGGAUUGCAAAAGGCUUCAACAAUUGCCAAAACUUCCGGUAAAUGCCGCCUUACAUGUGAUAGCCGACAAUUGUACUUUGUUACAAGUGUUUCCAGAACCAUCAGAUUUGGGCCCAUCUGUUUGGCUCACUGGCAUCAAUUGCUUGAGUACGGUCGCUUAUCAAGAUGCUAGUUAUUUUUUGUAUUCAGCGCUAAAGCGGUUGCUUGAGGUAACCCCUCAGAACAACUACUGGUUCCGGGUGGCAAUUCCUGGAAGUGAAAUUCCUGUGUGGUUCAGUAAUCAAAGUGUGGGAGACUCGGUGACUGAGAAGGUGGAUGCAAGUAAUAGCAAGUUGAUUGGAUUUGCUGCAUGUGCUCUAAUUGAACCUCAAGAAAAUCCGUCUGCACACCGUGGUGUAGAUCCUGCAGGAAGUGUCUGUCAAUUUAAUCGGUGGCGGAAGAAAAACUAUAAAAAAGUGUGGAGUAUUUCUUUCGAUUUGAGACAAAUUGUUUCAGAUCACCUUUUGUUAGUUGUUACGCCCAUUCGCCAUCGGGAGGACCCAUGCCAUGAAGUUACGUUUGACUUCGAAAUCUUGGGAAGAAACAAUAGAUGCAUGAAGGUAAAGAAAUGUGGGGCCCGUGCAGUGUACCAGCACGACAAGGAAGAGCUGAUCAGUAUAAUGAACCAAUCCAAGAGCAGCAUUUCUGUUCACGAGACUAUGAAUGAACAAGAAGGCUCCAUGGUUAAGGCAGCAACAAGCAGAAGUGGUGGCUCUGACGACGAAUAUAUCUCUGCAGAAGAGUGAAACAUUUUAGAAGACACCGUCUUGCUUUGUCCUUGGUUUAACCAUCCCAGUGCCUCGAGGCAAAAAUGCAAGGCCAACACUACACUGCUGUUCUCACUCUUCAUAACAAAGAAUAGUUAGGGAGACUACAUCUUUAGUUCCCAUGUCAGAUGAUGUUCAGCAGAAUGGAGUGGCGGUCUCUUUUCAUGUCUCAGAUAUAAAAAAUUGGCACUCUAAAGGAGAUUUUCGAGUUUGAACCUUUGUGUACAUCUAGUUGUUGGCUACCAAUCUUUGGUUGUCUCACUGUGAACACGGUUGCAAUGCCUCGUAAGAGAAGAUUUAGGGACGCACUUCCUCUCUGAGUUGUUAAAAAUGAGUGUGAAGGCCCGCACAUGGAAAUGUACCUGCUACGUUGCCUUGGACUAGAAGAUUGAGUUAAUGAACACAAUGGGUAAUUUCAAGAUGGAAAUGCAUUGCUGGAAGAUAAAUAAGAUUCUGGAAAUGCUACAUGGUUAAACUCAGUUACUUCACUGUAUAAAGCUCGGUUUUUGGUUUCAUUUAAUUCACGAAUGUAUUUUGGUAGUGUCAUGGUGUGUUUUAACAUUUGGGAUUUGGUUGUGUUGAUGGUGUUUGGUUUAAGGUUUAAUAGUGUUUUGGUUUUGUAAUGGAUCUCUCCAAAAUACAUGUGAGGAUUAUUUGUUAUGUUUAAAAUUCAAGAAAAAAGGGCAUUGUCUAGUGUACU
Fragaria vesca subsp. vesca is the source of this 4057-nucleotide RNA transcript. It is a transcript of the gene named TMV resistance protein N-like, with no coding region annotated. The record is from RefSeq and is a predicted model, not a curated record. The transcript is spliced from 8 exons. Lineage: Eukaryota; Viridiplantae; Streptophyta; Magnoliopsida; Rosales; Rosaceae.